RNAcentral lists this ribosomal RNA (874 nucleotides) under Amara aenea. Its description in RNAcentral is "eukaryotic LSU rRNA". It matches the Rfam family "Eukaryotic large subunit ribosomal RNA", at positions 406 to 944 of the family's 3401-position model. The record is from RNAcentral. Lineage: Eukaryota; Metazoa; Arthropoda; Insecta; Coleoptera; Carabidae.
UGUUCAGGGGUAAACCUGUGGUUCCCGAAAGUUCGAACGGGGAGAUUCAAUUGCCUCGCCGGUUAUGACCAUUUAGCAGUGUGUUUUAUAUAUUUUGAGACAUUACAUGGCGUUAUGGGCUUGUCCUGUAAUCUGUUAUGUGGUGCUCCGCUGCUUUAUGUAUAUAUAUUAGUUUAUAGCCGGAGGCGUGCACUUCUCCCCUUGUAGGGCGUCAUGACCCAUUGGGUAAUAUUAUAUUAAAAUGUUGUCUAAGGCCCACAAUGGAGCCCGUGGUGUCGUCAAGUUGGGUUUCACGACCUACCUUGUGCGCACCGGACUUGUGGUGUCCCGACAUCAACCCGAUGGUAUAUAGUGAGAUAAUGGGUCGCAACACCUUGUGUAGCGAGCGUUCAGACCUGUGACAAAUGUUCGUACGGUUCUGUGGAAAUUGGACUUUGCGCCGAUUCUACGCGUAUGGCAUUGUUAGUCAUGGUGUUCUCGAACCGGUCCUUAUUAUCCGUCAAUGGCGUUUAUGUUUUGGGUAAUUACAGGACCCGUCUUGAAACACGGACCAAGGAGUCUAGCAUGUGCGCGAGUCAUUGGGACUUAGUGAAACCUAAAGGCGUAAUGAAAGUGAAUAUUUGUUGAAUUUUCGUAAUUCACAAAUUAAGGGAAGAUGGCUGACGGAAUUUAUGUUGGCUCGCAUUCCCGGGGCGUCGCGUACUCAUUGCGAGUUGCGGCGCACCAAGAGCGUACACGCUGGGACCCGAAAGAUGGUGAACUAUGCCUGAUCAGGAUGAAGUCAGGGGAAACCCUGAUGGAGGUCCGUAGCGAUUCUGACGUGCAAAUCGAUCGUAUGAAUUGGGUAUAGGGGCGAAAGACUAAUCGAACCAUC